RNAcentral lists this ribosomal RNA (497 nucleotides) under uncultured bacterium. RNAcentral's name for it is "partial 16S ribosomal RNA". It matches the Rfam family "Bacterial small subunit ribosomal RNA", at positions 28 to 507 of the family's 1533-position model. The record is from RNAcentral.
GACGAACGCUGGCGGCGUGCCUAAUACAUGCAAGUAGAACGCUGAAGAGAGGAGCUUGCUCUUCUUGGCUGAGUUGCGAACGGGUGAGUAACGCGUAGGUAACCUGCCUUGUAGCGGGGGAUAACUAUUGGAAACGAUAGCUAAUACCGCAUAACAAUGGAUGACACAUGUCAUUUAUUUGAAAGGGGCAAUUGCUCCACUACAAGAUGGACCUGCGUUGUAUUAGCUAGUAGGUGAGGUAACGGCUCACCUAGGCGACGAUACAUAGCCGACCUGAGAGGGUGAUCGGCCACACUGGGACUGAGACACGGCCCAGACUCCUACGGGAGGCAGCAGUAGGGAAUCUUCGGCAAUAGGGGCAACCCUGACCGAGCAACGCCGCGUGAGUGAAGAAGGUUUUCGGAUCGUAAAGCUCUGUUGUAAGUCAAGAACGAGUGUGAGAGUGGAAAGUUCACACUGUGACGGUAGCUUACCAGAAAGGGACGGCUAACUACGUG